GGGCGGUUGGCGCAGUGGAAGCGCGUCUGACUUACAUUCAGAAGGUCAGAGGUUCAAAUCCUCUACCGCCCA
Molecule: transfer RNA, 72 nt
Filed under: Candidatus Omnitrophota bacterium
Lineage: Bacteria; Pseudomonadati; Candidatus Omnitrophota
Description: tRNA-Val
Rfam family: tRNA
About the family: Transfer RNA (tRNA) molecules are approximately 80 nucleotides in length. Their secondary structure includes four short double-helical elements and three loops (D, anti-codon, and T loops).
Source: RNAcentral